This 467-nucleotide ribosomal RNA is filed under the name uncultured bacterium. Its description in RNAcentral is "partial 16S ribosomal RNA". It matches the Rfam family "Bacterial small subunit ribosomal RNA", at positions 28 to 507 of the family's 1533-position model. The record is from RNAcentral.
GACGAACGCUGGCGGCGUGCUUAACACAUGCAAGUCGAACGGAAAGGCCCUGCUUUUGUGGGGUGCUCGAGUGGCGAACGGGUGAGUAACACGUGAGUAACCUGCCCUUGACUUUGGGAUAACUUCAGGAAACUGGGGCUAAUACCGGAUAGGAGCUCCUGCUGCAUGGUGGGGUUGGAAAGUUUCGGCGGUUGGGGAUGGACUGGCGGCUUAUCGGCUUGUUGGUGGGGUAGUGGCCUACCAAGGCUUUGCCGGGUAGCCCGCCUGAGAGGGUGACCGGCCACAUUAGGACUGAGAUACGGCCCAGACUCCUACGGGAGGCAGCAGUGGGGAAUAUUGCACAAUGGGCGGAAGCCUGAUGCAGCAACGCCGCGUGCGGGAUGACGGCCUUCGGGUUGUAAACCGCUUUCGCCUGUGACGAAGCGUGAGUGACGGUAAUGGGUAAAGAAGCACCGGCUAACUACGUG